RNAcentral lists this ribosomal RNA (326 nucleotides) under uncultured Armatimonadota bacterium. RNAcentral's name for it is "bacterial SSU rRNA". It matches the Rfam family "Bacterial small subunit ribosomal RNA", at positions 28 to 351 of the family's 1533-position model. The record is from RNAcentral. Lineage: Bacteria; Bacillati; Armatimonadota.
GACGAACGCUUGCGGCGUGCCUAAGAAAUGCAAGUUGAGCGAGAUCGAGGCUUCGGCCAAAGGUCUAGCAGCGAACGGUCGCGUAACACGUAAGCAACCUGCCCUAAAAUGGGGGAUAGCCCGCCGAAAGGCGGAUUAAUACCGCAUGUGGACAUUGAAUCGCAUGUUUUGAUGUCUGAAGCAGCGAUGCGUUUUAGGAUGGGCUUGCGGCCUAUCAGCUAGUUGGUGUGGGUAACGGCUCACCAAGGCGACGACGGGUAGCUGGUCUGAGAGGAUGGUCAGCCGGACUGGGACUGAGAUACGGCCCAGACUCCUACGGGAGGCAG